GCCUCGUUAGUGCAGUAGGCAAGGCGUCAGUCUUAUAAUCAAAUCUAGAAAUCUGAAGGUCGUGAGUUCGAUCCUCAUACGGGGCA
RNAcentral lists this transfer RNA (86 nucleotides) under Nematostella vectensis (starlet sea anemone). It matches the Rfam family "tRNA". Rfam says of the family: Transfer RNA (tRNA) molecules are approximately 80 nucleotides in length. The record is from Rfam by way of RNAcentral. Lineage: Eukaryota; Metazoa; Cnidaria; Anthozoa; Actiniaria; Edwardsiidae.